Non-coding RNA from Mycena metata, 96 nucleotides. The record is from the annotation of a GenBank genome assembly. Lineage: Eukaryota; Fungi; Basidiomycota; Agaricomycetes; Agaricales; Mycenaceae.
GCGGAUAUGGUGCAUGGUGCACGAUUGCCUCAGUAUUUCGCCCUCGCCACUCUGCCAGUGAAGCGAUCGAUCAGGGUUCGAUUCCCUGCGUCCGCA